This 2622-nucleotide long non-coding RNA is filed under the name Zea mays. Its description in RNAcentral is "long non-coding RNA (ZMAY_LNC001189)". Lineage: Eukaryota; Viridiplantae; Streptophyta; Magnoliopsida; Poales; Poaceae. The record is from RNAcentral.
UGGUGAGUGGAAGCCGAGGGCCGCCGCGGUUGCAAGAACUGGGCUGUGGUGCACGCCGAAGCGAACCAUGGGCUAAUAGAGCGAAGGUAGUGCUUGGAGUUCGAAGGAAAGUUUGCCAGAGUUCACGUCUCGUGGGGAACUUCACUGUGUCGACGAUGGCCAGCCUCGUCGUCGAUUGUGUCGAUGGCCAGCCUCGUCGUUGAUUGAGCAUCGCGGCCAAGUCUGUUGUGACCGGGAUUCUUCAACACGUUCCACCUCGAGGUAUGGAUCCAAAUGCUAGCAGCAGCAUCUCUCAACUACUUCCGCGUGAUGCGAUGGUGCUGGGUACGUAGAUGUGCUUCCGCUCUCUGCUGCAUGCCGUUGUAGGCCAUCCUAUUGCCUCUCACGCCCUAAAACCGGGUCUCCGGCUAACCACCUAGCUUGCGGACAAACUCUCGCCGACGGAGGUUCACCAUGCCGCAUGGACAGCUUCGCCUUGCCUCCUAACCUUCGGUAAUGCCCCUUGGAUCGAUUCGACACCUUCUCUGCAUUGCUUAGCACCUAGUUACGCUUGGAAUCAAGCCCUGGCAUGAUAAUUGGGUGCUCCGCGGUCAUGGCGCCGCCGUGGGUAGGGCCGGCGUGCUGCCGUAUUCCGGCUGGGAGGAAGAAAACUGGCAGCCAUUGGAUUGGAAGUUGACGGUUAGGAUGGGUUAUGGGAAGGAUGUACCGUGGACCGUUGAUCGCGGAAUGGACGUAUCGGAUUAGAUUCACAUAUACCCGUUCGACUCAUUAAAUCCAGGGCGUAGAUCUUGGAUCCUAGGGCUCGGGUUGCGUACCGAUUUGUGCGCGGCCAGAUUUAAUCGUGACCUUUGGUUUGGAUCGGACGGCUCUGAAUCAACGAUACCCCUUCGCCCUGGCUUUCUUUCUAAAGAGACCCCGGAAAACUUGCUAUUCAACCCGCGGUCUAUCGCCUGGGUUCUCUGUGUCUUGGUGCACUUUGCGCCAGGGCCCCUGCACUUCCUAAUAUUAGUGGGCCCAGUCCAGAGUAUUAUAAAACAGAGAAAAUAAUUUAUAAAUGGGUUUUUAAUAGAUAAAUAAAUGCUAGAACUUGUUUAAAUCAUAGAAAAUCCAUUUUUAGUCCAAAUUAAUCCAUUCCACUUUCUAAAAUUUUGUAAUUUUAUUAUCUACCACCUAGAGCCUCUGUUUUGUCAUGAAAACAAUUAGAAAUUUAAUCUCUCACUUAAUCCAUUCUAAGCACAUAGAAUCUUUGGAAAUCCAUAACUUAAAAUCUAUAACUCCGAAAUUAAUGAUUCCUGUUCCUAUGAUCUUAUUUUAAUAUGUAUAUUAUUAAUGUGUAUUUUGUUCUUAUGUGUGGUGUAAUGUUAAUUUUGCCUAUACCAUGUUUGUUUGAAUUGCUACGACUAGCAGUGAGGUCACGAGUCACCUGAAGAUCAUCCUGGUACCUGGAAUCUCAAGUCCCAGGCAAGUUGUGCCCUUGAUCACUUCUUUUACCCACUCAUGUUCUAAUUAAUCAUAAUGAUCUGCAUAGGUUAAUUUGAUGGGACCUAAUAGGUUACCCUAGAUUGUCUAUCUUUAUACCUUGUUUACCACUGAACUUUUUGGGUAGUACUUGCUAGUGCUUUAUGUGGUUUUGGGUAUGAAGAUACAUUAUUCAUGAUCACACUUUUAUUAUCAGUUUAUUAUUACUGUUCAUGAUAAGAUCAUUAUGUUAAUUGGAACAUGGAGAACCACCCGGGAAAACAGUGCUACCACAAGGGAGGAAUGGGACCCCUUGGCUGAUUAAUUAGGAAAGCUAGUGGAAGACUACCUUACCCGAAAGGGGCAAGGGCAGUAGGGGAGUGGUCAUUGUAGGGAGGCCCUCGGGAGGAUUUUGCUGCAAUGGCGGUCCUGCAAGGGAUUCCUGCAUUGGAGCUUCCUAUAAACUGUAGCGGGUUUUCUGAAGCUAGUGGAACUUUGUAAAGGCAUCGUAGUGUUACCCUGCCUCGCCUCCUCGGUAGAGGUGUAUGGGAAGUCGCGAUCCCUUGGCAGAUGGGUAACAUGACUUGUGGGUAAAGAUGCGCAACCUCUGCAGAGUGUAAAACUGGUAUACUAGUCGUGCUCACGGUCAUGAGCAGCUCGGACCCUCACAUGAUUAAAUUAUGGAACUAAAUUCAAUUUGUCAUAUGCAUUGCAUCGCAGGUGAUGUUGUUACUACUUUUGUUCUACUACUUAAUUGGGGUAUUUACUUAUACUUAGUAAUUGCUAAUAAAAUUUUGACCAACUUUAAAAGCAAUGCUCAGCUUCAACCAUCCUCUUUGGUAAGCCUUACACUUCACGUGAGCUCCCACCUUUGGCGAGUUCAUGCACAUUAUUCCCCACAACUUGUUGAGCGAUGAACGUAUGUGAGCUCACUCUUGCUGUCUCACACCCCCACAGGUCAAAAACAGGUACCACAGGAUGAGGCGCAUGGAGGAUGCUGUGAUGAGUUCGUGAGAGGUCUAGGCCGUCAUCUCCCAGUCAACUUUGGGUUGCUGGACCGUUGUCUCCCUAUAAUGUAAUUAUUUAUUUUGUAUAGAAUUCCUGUUAUAUAUAAAGAUGUGACAUUCGAUCCUGUGCCAUUAUACAUCAUAUGUGUGAGACUUG